RNAcentral lists this unclassified non-coding RNA (801 nucleotides) under Hevea brasiliensis (rubber tree). Lineage: Eukaryota; Viridiplantae; Streptophyta; Magnoliopsida; Malpighiales; Euphorbiaceae. The record is from RNAcentral.
ACGUAAUAAUUCAGUUAAGGAGCUCAGCAAAGGAGUUCAGAAGGAGAUGCAUGCAGGGAUUGCUGGCGUUGCACGAAUGAUUGAGCGGUUAGAUCUUACCUCAAAACGAACUGGAGCCUCCAGUCCAGUUUCUGAUUUGAGGCCAGGGGCAUCAGACUUCUCCUUGAAGGGAAAGGCCAUGCAAGAGAACAUUAUUGCUCAGGCACUAGAGAAAAGAAGUGAGGAAAUUGCACUUGCUACAAGCUUGGAUGUUUCUUCACAUGUCUCCUGCACUGUCCCAAGUCGACUGGAUGUUCUCCAUAGAGGUCAUUGAUCCUGUGGAGACAAACCUGAAUGUUUAAUUGUGUUUUUACCUGUUCUUAUGAGAAGGGCAAAGGAUGCAAGUGACGUGCUGUGAAGAAACCAAUUUACCUAUUGGUUUGCGUCCUGCAUUGCUUAUUUAUGCACAGUAAUGACCUUAGUUGGCUGUAGAAAUUACUGUCCAAGUGAAAAAGUAAUUUCUUUUGUCAUGAACUCGGGAGACUAGAAGAUUGAAUGGUGAAAGGUUUCAUUCUCGUGCAUUUUUAUUAUUUGCUUUUCAAUUACAGAAGAACUAGAUGUUCUGCGCUGGCAUGUUUGCUUGUGCUCUUACUCAAGUUUCAUAAUUCUUCUUUGAUGUGAGAUUGGUGAUACAUUUUAACUUCUUAUUUUAUGAUCUUGUAAAACCGUGAAAAACAGUGCUGAACUGCUGAAUGCUAAUCAAACGCUCUUGCUCUGUAGCAAGCAGCACACAAAUUUAUUGGCAUAAUACUAUUACUAAGA